GAGGGUGAUUGCAGGGGCAUGGUCCUGGGC
This 30-nucleotide non-coding RNA is filed under the name Rattus norvegicus (Norway rat). Lineage: Eukaryota; Metazoa; Chordata; Mammalia; Rodentia; Muridae. The record is from RNAcentral.